CUCCGCUAAGACUCCCUUUGAAGAGGCUUUCCCAGUUGCCUGGGGAGGGAGGGCAGGCAGCUAGUGUCUGUGCCUGAGGCCACCCUGUCACCCUGCCAUCCUCCCACCAUCCAUCACAGCUUGCCACCGUUCGGGUAAACUUGGACACACGCUUUGUGUAUUUCCAUAAUGUUGUCAGCUGCCCAUAUAGCAUCGAGAAUAUAUUUCCCCAUUUUAGAGUGCUGGUAACUCAAUUUAUAGCAAUUUAUUCCACAAAAGCAGACAGUAACUCAACUGGCAAGAGGAAAAAAAAUCCUACCAACCCACCACUGUCUCUCUGCGCUGGAAAUCAAAAUGGUAAUGCAUGGAAUAGAUUUCUGCAAGUAAUAGGCUUGGUCGGCAGACGUGUGAGCUGAGUUAAAUGCCUUUUAAGUAAAUCUCCAUGUGAGUUAUCUGUUCACUCAGACGUGCAUGCGUGGAGACAAGGAGGCUGUGUGGACGGUCGGCACGCGCUGUAACUUCCAUUAUCCCACACUGGGAUGCGUUGUUAAUAACCACAGCCGAGGGGACUGCAGAUUUCCCCAUCACUGCCAGCUGGCUACCAGUGUGAUGUUGAGGGAUUCAUUCGUUCAUUCAUUCGUUUGUUCAUUCACCAAGCCUUUGUGAGACCCAGGGUGCACCAGGCUGCAUGCCAAGCGUUGGAGGUGCAGAAACACAGAGAUGGAACCCGACCAGACCCCAGCACAGAAGAGCUCACAGUCUGCAGGGGGAGACAGAGGCACAAACAGCAGUGACAUGAAUGAAACACAAAAAAGAAGACUGCACAAGCUAACAGGACCGGAUAACAAGCUGAUUGUAGAUCAGUGAACCUCAGGAAUGCCCUCAGCAGCUCGGGGUUACAAUAUGGCAAGCUAAUUCUAUGGAAUAAUCAUCUUGGCAAGACAAGUGUGUUUUGAAGGUACCAUUGCCGAUGGACUGAUGUUAGGGUUUCCUACAAUGUUAAAAAAAAUCAUAACUUAUAUAAAUUGUAGGCCACCUUGUGUCUAGUCUCAACAUGAAUCUCAUGCAAAGAACUAUCAGUCCAGAAUCCAAAAGUAACUGAAAAGCAUUUAUUUAGCACUUACCAUGUGCCAAGCUCUGUGUUAAUCACGACAGAUCCUGGGAAGAAUGGAAAACCUCUUUCUCAAGAACCUCAGUCUGGUGAGGGAAUCAGACCUGAAGAUAAAUAAUUGCAAUACCUUGUGAUACAUAGUAUAAUAAUCAUCUGCAUCAGGCACAAUGGGAGCUCCAGAGAUGGAGGAUCGAUUCUUCUUAGCAGAUGGGGUCAGGGAACUCCUCCCUGAAGAAUUGACACUUGAGCUGAGUUUUAGAGGUGAACCAGAUAUGGCGUUGAGGAAGGUAUUGGAAGAAAUCCCCAGGUAAAGGUGCAGACAAUGCAAACAUUUGGACGGGGCACAAAGAAGCAUCAUGUGCCUGGGGAACUAGAUGUGGUUUUGGAUGGCAGUGCUAAGGCAUGUGGGUAGGAAAGCAGCGCACUGGAGAAGGAGGCAGGGACCUUUCAGGACAGCCCCAUCAUUGGCUCAGAACCACUUGUGUCUCAACACACUUUCACUCAAUCUUCUGUGUUUCAUGUGGAGUUCUUGGCUUUAAGGGGAUAAGAAAAGGGUGGCCAGAUUUUAAAAAGUCAUUCAAAAAUUGGAAUAUGCUUGAAAGUUGAGAUAUACUGCAAUGAAUUUUCAUAUAUUCAUCACUCAGAUUCAACAAUUACCAUGUUUUUGCACAUUUACUCUAUUCUUUUUUUCCCCUAUUUUCUGUCUGAAAUAUUUGAAAGCAAGCUUCAGACAUCAUGGAAUUUCAUUUCAACAUCCCAGUACUGUUUUAUGUAUUUCUAAAAAAUGGUUUUUUUCUUAUAUAAUCACAAUGCCUUUAACACACAACAAAAUUAACACUAUUUUUGUCAUAUCACCUAACGUAUAAUUUAUAUUAAAAAUAUUCAAAGUGCCUUGAAAGUAUUUUUAGGAGGUGGGUUGUUUGACCUGGGAUCCAGGCAAAGUUGGUGGGAUGAUUUUAAUCUGAAGACUUUGCUCAAUAAAUGUUAUCAGUAAGGGUGUUAAUGGGCAGGCUUGUAGGGUGGCUGUAAUAAUCCCCACCUCCUGGCACACAUGCCCAUGUGUGAUUCCUCCACGUGAGUGGAAGGUUAGAGGUAUGACUGCCUCUAACCAAUGGAAUAUGGGAAAGGUGAAGGGAUGUCACCUCUGUGAAUAUGUUCUGGAAGAUUCUGACUUCUGUUGUACUGAACGAUUCCCUCUUGCUGGUUUUGAUGCAGCAGCUGCUGUGCUGUGAGCUGUUCUGUGGAGCAGCUCUCUUGACAAGGAACUGAGGGCAGCUUCCAGCCAACAGUCAGCAAGGACCCCAAAGGUGUAACAACCAGAGUUCUUUCAGACAAGACCCCAGAUCCAAUGGAUACCUUGACUGGAGCCUUUUGAGAGAUCCUGAAGCAUAAGACCCACCUGUGUUGUGUCUAGGUUCUUGGCCUCCAGAAACUGAGAUA
Canis lupus familiaris (dog) is the source of this 2530-nucleotide long non-coding RNA. RefSeq lists it as uncharacterized. The record is from RefSeq and is a predicted model, not a curated record. The transcript is spliced from 3 exons. NCBI's taxonomy places the organism in Eukaryota, Metazoa, Chordata, Mammalia, Carnivora, Canidae.